GGAAGGAUCAUUACCGAGUGCGGGUCCGCGUGGCCCAACCUCCCACCCGUGCCUAUUGUACCCUGUUGCUUCGGCGGGCCCGCCAGCCUUCGGGCUGGCCGCCGGGGGGCGUCUCGCCCCCGGGCCCGUGCCCGCCGGAGACCCCAACAUGAACCCUGUUCUGAAAGCUUGGUGUCUGAGUGUGAUUGUUUGCAAUCAGUUAAAACUUUCAACAAUGGAUCUCUUGGUUCCGGCAUCGAUGAAGAACGCAGCGAAAUGCGAUAACUAAUGUGAAUUGCAGAAUUCAGUGAAUCAUCGAGUCUUUGAACGCACAUUGCGCCCCCUGGUAUUCCGGGGGGCAUGCCUGUCCGAGCGUCAUUGCUGCCCUCAAGCCCGGCUUGUGUGUUGGGCCCUCGUCCCCCGGCUCCCGGGGGACGGGCCCGAAAGGCAGCGGCGGCACCGCGUCCGGUCCUCGAGCGUAUGGGGCUUUGUCUUCCGCUCUGCAGGCCCGGCCGGCGCCCGCCGACGCAUAACAACUUUUUUUCCAGGUUGACCUCGGAUCAGGUAGGGAUACCCGCUGAACUUAAGCAUAUCAAUAAGCGGAGGAAAAGAAACCAACCGGGAUUGCCUCAGUAACGGCGAGUGAAGCGGCAAGAGCUCAAAUUUGAAAGCUGGCUCCUUCGGGGUCCGCAUUGUAAUUUGCAGAGGAUGCUUCGGGUGCAGCCCCCGUCUAAGUGCCCUGGAACGGGCCGUCAUAGAGGGUGAGAAUCCCGUAUGGGGCGGGGUGUCUGCGUCCGUGUGAAGCUCCUUCGACGAGUCGAGUUGUUUGGGAAUGCAGCUCUAAAUGGGUGGUAAAUUUCAUCUAAAGCUAAAUACUGGCCGGAGACCGAUAGCGCACAAGUAGAGUGAUCGAAAGAUGAAAAGCACUUUGAAAAGAGAGUUAAACAGCACGUGAAAUUGUUGAAAGGGAAGCGCUUGCAACCAGACUCGCUCGCGGGGUUCAGCCGGGCUUCGGCCCGGUGUACUUCCCCGCGGGCGGGCCAGCGUCGGUUUGGGCGGCCGGUCAAAGGCCUCCGGAAUGUAGCGCCCUUCGGGGCGCCUUAUAGCCGGGGGUGCAAUGCGGCCAGCCUGGACCGAGGAACGCGCUUCGGCACGGACGCUGGCAUAAUGGUUGUAAACGACCCGUCUUGAAACACGGACCAAGGAGUCUAACAUCUACGCGAGUGUUCGGGUGUCAAACCCGUACGCGCAGUGAAAGCGAACGGAGGUGGGAGCCCCCUCGCGGGGCGCACCAUCGACCGAUCCUGAUGUCUUCGGAUGGAUUUGAGUACGAGCGUAAAUGUGGGGACCCGAAAGAUGGUGAACUAUGCCUGAAUAGGGCGAAGCCAGAGGAAACUCUGGUGGAGGCUCGCAGCGGUUCUGACGUGCAAAUCGAUCGUCAAAUUUGGGUAUAGGGGCGAAAGACUAAUCGAACCAUCUGGUAGCUGGUUCCUGC
RNAcentral lists this unclassified non-coding RNA (1474 nucleotides) under uncultured Eurotiales. Its description in RNAcentral is "sequence contains 18S rRNA gene, ITS1, 5.8S rRNA gene, ITS2, 28S rRNA gene". The stretch from base 530 to 1474 matches the Rfam family "Eukaryotic large subunit ribosomal RNA", at positions 1 to 961 of the family's 3401-position model. Lineage: Eukaryota; Fungi; Ascomycota; Eurotiomycetes; Eurotiales. The record is from RNAcentral.